AGCGAACGCUGGCGGCAUGCUUAACACAUGCAAGUCGCACGGGCAGCAAUGUCAGUGGCGGACGGGUGGGUAACGCGUAGGAACGUGUCCUCAGGUGGGUGACAACCCCGGGAAACUGGGGCUAAUACCGCAUAUGGGCUGAGACCCAAAGCCGUGGGGCGCCUUUGGAGCGGCCUGCGUCCGAUUAGGUUGUUGGUAGGGGAAUGGCCUACUAAGCCUGCGAUCGGUAGCUGGUCUGAGAGGACGACCAGCCACACUGGGACUGAGACACGGCCGAGAAUCCUACGGGAGGGAGGAGAGGGGAAUAUAGGAAAAUGGGGGAAAGGCUGAUCCAGCAAGGCGGGGUAGGUGAAGAAGGUCGUCGGAUAGAAAAGCCCUUUCGACGGGGACGAUGAUGACGGUACCCGUAGAAGAAGCCCCGGCUAACUUCGUG
Molecule: ribosomal RNA, 433 nt
Filed under: uncultured bacterium
Lineage: Bacteria
Description: partial 16S ribosomal RNA
Rfam family: Bacterial small subunit ribosomal RNA
Source: RNAcentral